Molecule: small RNA, 125 nt
Filed under: Marmota monax (woodchuck)
Lineage: Eukaryota; Metazoa; Chordata; Mammalia; Rodentia; Sciuridae
Source: RNAcentral
GCCAGGUGUGGUGGUGCAUGCCUGUAACCCCAGCAGCUCCGGAGGCGGAGGCAGGAGGAUCGUGAGUUCAAAGCCAGCCUCAGCAAAAGCAAGGCGCUAAGCUACUCAGUGAGACCUUGUCUCUA